This 770-nucleotide ribosomal RNA is filed under the name uncultured Glomeromycotina. RNAcentral's name for it is "SSU rRNA". It matches the Rfam family "Eukaryotic small subunit ribosomal RNA", at positions 331 to 1103 of the family's 1831-position model. Lineage: Eukaryota; Fungi; Glomeromycota. The record is from RNAcentral.
GGAUAGAGGCCUACCAUGGUGGUAACGGGUAACGGGGUGUUAGGGCACGACACCGGAGAGGGAGCCUGAGAAACGGCUACCACAUCCAAGGAUGGCAGCAGGCGCGCAAAUUACCCAAUCCCGACACGGGGAGGUAGUGACAAUAAAUAACAAUACGGGGUUCUUUCGGAUUUCGUAAUUGGAAUGAGUACAAUUUAAAUCUCUUAACGAGGAACAAUUGGAGGGCAAGCCUGGUGCCAGCAGCCGCGGUAAUUCCAGCUCCAAUAGCGUAUAUUAAAGUUGCUGCAGUUAAAAAGCUCGUAGUUGAAUUUCGGGACCAAUAUGUCGGUCGUGCCUCGGUACGUACUGGCAUCGUUGGUUUCUCCCUUCUGACGAACCAUGAUGUCAUUUAUUUGGUGUCGUGGGGAAUCAGGACUGUUACUUUGAAAAAAUUAGAGUGUUUAAAGCAGGCUCACGCUUGAAUACAUUAGCAUGGAAUAAUGAAAUAGGACGUUUGAUUCUAUUUUGUUGGUUUCUAGGAUCGACGUAAUGAUUAAUAGGGAUAGUUGGGGGCAUUAGUAUUCAAUUGUCAGAGGUGAAAUUCUUGGAUUUAUUGAAGACUAACUACUGCGAAAGCAUUUGCCAAGGAUGUUUUCAUUAAUCAAGAACGAAAGUUAGGGGAUCGAAGACGAUCAGAUACCGUCGUAGUCUUAACCAUAAACUAUGCCGACUAGGGAUCGGAUGAUGUUAAUUUUUUAAUGACUCAUUCGGCGCCUUACGGGAAACCAAAG